GAUACCCCUGUAGUCCUGGCCGUAAACGAUGAACACUAGGUGUCGGGGGAAUCGACCCCCUCGGUGUCGUAGCCAACGCGUUAAGUGUUCCGCCUGGGGAGUACGCACGCAAGUGUGAAACUCAAAGGAAUUGACGGGGGCCCGCACAAGCGGUGGAGUAUGUGGUUUAAUUCGAUGCAACGCGAAGAACCUUACCAGGGUUUGACAUCCUGCGAAUCCCUUGGAAACUUGGGAGUGCCUUCGGGAGCGCAGUGACAGGUGGUGCAUGGCUGUCGUCAGCUCGUGUCGUGAGAUGUUGGGUUAAGUCCCGCAACGAGCGCAACCCACGUCUUUAGUUGCCAGCAUUUAGUUGGGCACUCUAGAGAGACUGCCGGUGAUAAACCGGAGGAAGGCGUGGAUGACGUCAAGUCAUCAUGCCCCUUACAUCCUGGGCUACACACGUACUACAAUGCUACGGACAAAGGGCAGCAAACUCGCGAGAGCUAGCAAAUCCCAUAAACCGUGGCUCAGUUCAGAUCGUAGGCUGCAACUCGCCUACGUGAAGGAGGAAUCGCUAGUAAUCGCAGGUCAGCAUACUGCGGUGAAUACGUUCCCGGGCCUUGUACACACCGCCCGUCACACCAUGGAAGUUGGCCACGCCCGAAGUCGUUACUCCAACCCUUGUGGAGGAGGAUGCCGAAGGUGGGGCUGAUGACUGGGGUGAAGUCGUAACAAGGUAGCCGUACCGGAAGGUGC
RNAcentral lists this ribosomal RNA (735 nucleotides) under uncultured Synechococcus sp. RNAcentral describes it as "bacterial SSU rRNA". It matches the Rfam family "Bacterial small subunit ribosomal RNA", at positions 781 to 1515 of the family's 1533-position model. Lineage: Bacteria; Bacillati; Cyanobacteriota; Cyanophyceae; Synechococcales; Synechococcaceae. The record is from RNAcentral.